This 1178-nucleotide long non-coding RNA is filed under the name Cricetulus griseus (Chinese hamster). Its description in RNAcentral is "lncRNA (ENSCGRG00000026214.1)". Lineage: Eukaryota; Metazoa; Chordata; Mammalia; Rodentia; Cricetidae. The record is from RNAcentral.
GCUACCUUUCCAGGUCUGGGAUACAACCCCGGAACAAAGCAGACAAGGAGGACACAGGCCUCUCAGAACUGAUGUCCCCACCACAAUCCCCGGGAGGCAGGCAUCAGCCCCCACCCACUUCUCCCAUUUAUUUGUUUUGGAUUUUGGCUUUCUUUGAAGCAGGGUCUCCCUGUGUAGCUCAGGUUGGUCUGGAAGUUGACAGACUUGUAGACCCUAAGUGCUGAGAUGACCUGCAAGCACCAUCAGGCUGGCCUCUGAUUAGAUAAGGAUGCUGAGGAGGAUAGAAGCUCGCUGAGUGCUGAGACAUGACUUGAUUCCAGACCCACUAAUCUUCUCAGCAGGAGCAUCAGCUCAAGGAACUAUGGGAGGUGAAAAGAGACCACCAGUGAGGAGGGUGCCAGGUUCCAUCUGCAUCCCAGAUGCUGGCAGUGUCUGAGGAGAGGAGUCAGGGGCUGAGGUGGCCAGCUGUGGAAGGAUACUCUCUGAAGCCAGGCUGGGCUCUCCGUUGUCCUUGUUUGGAAUUCCCUUCUUGACGUAGAAGUUGUGAGUCACGGUCUCAGCCCUUGUCUCGAUUGCACAACCCACAGAGAUGAUUGCAGACACUGUCAUGCCUCAUGCUAGCACAGUUUCAAUAGUCAUGGUUCCCUUUCUCUGCCCCGGAUGUGAGGGAUUUCAUUUGGAAGGCUGGAGAGAACAAUUCAGGCUUCGGAUGAAAUACCUAGACACCCUGGGUGUUGGAGGAAGUGGUCCAGAACGUGCCCACUCAAGGGACCCGUUGCUAUCCAGCUCCAGUCUCCCUACCUUCACCAGUCCCAAGCCCUUCCAUAGAACUACUGGACUUGGAGGAGUUCAGCUUUAAAAAAAUCCCUGGACAAGAGUCACACUUUAGGGUUCCUCCCAAAGUGCAGGAACCAUGGGGAGAGGAGAGGAGAGGGGCCCUAGUUCUCCCAAGUUACAGAUGCGGGUCGUUCAUUGAGUCAGAGUCCAGCUGCCUCCUGAGGUCAUGAGAAAGAAGGCGAGGGCAAGCAAGGGGCACAGGAAGUGAAGCCGGCCAGCUGGGAGGCAGCAGCAGGCGUGGGUACUGUGGCCUCCUGGAUGGGCCAGUGACAUCACAACCCCAGGAAACAGCUGCCCAAAAGGCCCUCACUGUCCCUCAUUCCUCCUCUGGGAAAAUCAGC